GCGGGAAACUUGAGGCCAAUAUGCGAUAUAACUCUCAUGCUGGAGUGCAGAGAGUUAGAAACGUUCCGGCGCUGUAGGAUGUGGCUGCGGCCGAUUAGGUAGAUGGUGGGGUAACGGCCCAUGCCGAUAAUCGG
Molecule: ribosomal RNA, 134 nt
Filed under: uncultured archaeon
Lineage: Archaea
Description: partial 16S ribosomal RNA
Rfam family: Archaeal small subunit ribosomal RNA
Source: RNAcentral